RNAcentral lists this microRNA precursor (60 nucleotides) under Mus spretus (western wild mouse). RNAcentral describes it as "microRNA 7019 (ENSMSPG00010037579.1)". The record is from RNAcentral. Lineage: Eukaryota; Metazoa; Chordata; Mammalia; Rodentia; Muridae.
AGGGGAUCUGGGAGGGGCUGUCAGGAGUACAGGCCGACUGCACCGCUCACCUCUCUGCAG